Molecule: long non-coding RNA, 3872 nt
Filed under: Vitis vinifera (wine grape)
Lineage: Eukaryota; Viridiplantae; Streptophyta; Magnoliopsida; Vitales; Vitaceae
Description: long non-coding RNA (VVIN_LNC007437)
Source: RNAcentral
UCACUCUUCUUAGCCACCAUUAGAGACCAUGGAACUCUUCUCCCAAAGCCAUAAUACCCAUCCUCAUCACUGUAUAUUUCUCCGACUAGAUUCUUGUCGUCACUGACAUCCUCAUCACUGAGGGGGCUUAGAUCAAUGACCAACUCGCUCAACGACCAAUUUCUUUAGCCACUUCACCGCCCACAUCUUCCAGGUAUUCUUUCGAUUCCUUCCAUGGCUUCACACUCUGUUAUUCCUUUCUUUCUUUCUUUCUUUGAUUUCAAAUUGGGUUUCUUUUCAUCACUUCUAUUUCCUCCCAUCUCUCUUUUUCUGGUUAGGGUUUGUGUUUGGAUUCCCUGGUAUAUAUUUACUAAUUAUUAUGAGCAUCAAACCCUCACCAUACUUUCUCAUGCCUCAUCUCUGCACUCUUAUUCUUCUUUCCAUUUUCAUGUGCAUCGAAGCUUAGCUUGGAAUCAAUGAUUGCUCGUGUCCCUUCUCUUUUGUCUUUUUUUGUCUUCCGUGCAUAAGAUGAAGUUGAAAAUUUUAGUGAUAUGAAAUUCAAUGCAGUCUGCUAUUAUUAUAGUGCCUUGUCUGCACCUAAUGAAAUCAAAGGUUAUGGAAGCUUCGGAUAGAGCAAAGCUCUUCCUAAUUAGGAUGCUACACUUUGACUCAUCUUAAUCUUGUUUCUUUUUUUUUUUCAUUUUAUUUAUCUAUUUUUUUAUUUUUUUAUUUUGAAUCCAUCAAAGUAGUAACUCCCUUGGACUAAUUUUGUUCUUCAUGUAAACACUAAGAAGUGGAAAAAUGAAUAUUAAGUUUAUCGAAAUUAAUGGGUAUGGACUAGAAGCAUUUUGUCAAAAAUCUGAAAAUUCAGAUGUUGAAAAUCAUAUCAUUUGAUUAGAUUUAUCUCAUGUACAAUUGCUAUUCAGGAGAAACAUUGGAUAGGUUUUGGGGUUUAUGCAAUUUUGGAGGGAAAAGGCUUCCUAAUUUACCUUCCUCAAUUUUAAUUUCUUAAAAUUCAAGUGGUAAUCUUAAAUGGACUUCAACAUCUGUUUUUCACCAACCAUUCUUUUACUUCUAUACAAAUCCUGUUAUCUCAUGUAUGGGGCAAAUGCAAUUUUGUGAUUUUCUAACUUCUUAAAAAUCAGGAAUUGACUUUUUAGGCUCAUUUUUACAUUUUUAAUUCAACUGAUUGACAUAAGCUUGAUAUUUGUUCUUUGAGUGGAAAUUCUGAUGCUUAGAGGAGAGACACUUUACUAAUUUUAUCUACUAGGUUGAAUGCAUUUGCUUUUUCUUCCUGCCAAUUUACUAAUUAUCAAAUUCCUUUUCUUUCUGGUUGGUUUUUCCCUAUCCUUUCUGUUUUCAUUUGAGGCCAUCAUAUCUCAGGCAAUUCACAUCCUGAGAGAGUUAGCUCCAACCAAAUUGGCAAGAGAGUUAGCUACAGAACAAGAUAUAAUAGCCAAGAUUGGCUUAUAAAUAUUCGAGAAUGAAAAUCUUACCAUUAUUUCAUUCUCUUUUAUUGAGCACCCAUUUUCCUUAAUGUGGAAUAUUUGAAACUCAAUGGUACAAAGAGAUACAAAAUUCAGAAGUAGUUUUAUAUUUCACAUAUGUCAUAGAGUUCUAAUUGAAAGACCAAUUGAAAGAAUCAAACUUUGGAUCUUAGGUAUUCAGUUAUAUGUUAUAACAGGUCUAACUGGUCUAAUCUACCUAAUUUGGUAAAUAAGAUGUUAGCAAGAUGAGGGUCAGCUUAGGAAGUCCCACAGCACAAGGCAAGCCACUUGUGAGAUUAAGCAGUCUGAUUAGGAAUACAAUGUUUGGCUUCACAAGUCAAUACAAGGCAAAAUUAAAACAUUAAUAAUUUGAUUUUAACCAAAAUUGAUGUCUUAACCACCAUGUUUCCUUUCUAAAUGAAGUAAGAUGGUUCAAUUUGAAUGGAACCUAAUUGAUUGGGAAAUUGAAAUAAGGUCACUUGCCGUUAGAAAUUGUUGUGAAGAGGAACUAACACAAUUUUUUUUUAUCAAACUUUGCUCUGCAUCAUGUUUGGCCCUCGAAACCCAUAUUUCACCUAAUUUAUUUGGUGGAAGAGGCUUCAAUGUAUCCACACUAACUAUUUGGGAUUCAUUUUUUUUUUCUUUUGGUUGAUUAUUCUCUUUUUUGCUUUCUUUUUUUCUUUGUUCCUUUUUGGUUUUCAAGUUAUAGAUCAUUUAAUCAAAGAAACAAUAACAAAAAAAAAAUUACUUUUACUUUAAUGUACUUUCAUUUUGGGUGCUAGGAGUCUUGUCUAGUGUGUGUGUGUGUGUGUUUUCCAGUUUUUAAUGUUUUUGGGUUUUCUCAAAAUACAAUGUAACUUCAAUGUUCCAUAAGAGAAAAAGAAAAAAAAAUCAAUCCCCAUCAAAGAAACAAAGAUUCAUUUAAUGAUUUCAUCUUACUAGUCACUUUAGCCAUUUAUCUGAAAGGGGUUUACUAUUAAGCUUCUUGUUUAGCUAUUUGCUAACAUCAUCCAUCUUCUUUAUCCAUUGACUACCCUAUGUAUCAAUAAUUUUAAAAACUCUCAUUUCAAUGCUUCAUUGUGCACAUGAUACAAUGAGCUAUAAUGCAUUGAAUUCCAGUCUUCAAACCUUUUACUUUCUUUUAUGUCAUGUUCAUUUGAUUUUUCUUUUUCAUUCCUUAACUGGAUGGGGGCAAUAGCCAUCUCUCUCAUUUGGCCCCUGCAUUUUGAAGAUAAGGCAUUUCCUUUUUCUUUCGUUGUGUGGAUGCACCUUCUAUGGCUAGGUUUAUCUUAAGUUGAAUAAAAAUCCAGUCCCCCAUAGGGCCAAUAUCAUCACUCCAAUGGCAUGUUUGCUUAUUGGCAGGGUGAACAAAUUGAGACUUUGGCAAGACAACAGUAAAGAGAAAGCAUAGAAAAGUUGAAACCUUUGGAGCAGCUCUAUUGUUAUCUUGAAAAGAGGAGGAAAUAGCAAGAUAUUAAUGAAAAAAAAUCUUUCCUAUUUUUCUCAGAAAAUGUGAUAGAAGUUUGAUAAAAUUAAUAAUUAAUAGUUUCCUAUUUUCUUUUUGUGGAAAAGGUAACAACAAAAAACUAUUUCAGAAGUUUUACCAUUAAGUCUGGAUUUUAUCAUGCAGGGGAUUAACCUUAAGCAUGAUAGAUAACCAGUAAACCCUUGACCAAAACAAUAUGAUUGCAAUUGGGGCUGCCAUCUCUCCAACCUCAUCAUACAAAGGUGGACAAUUUGAUAUCAGCUUAUUGGUCUGGAAGAAACUUAUUUUUUUUCCCUUUUGUUCUUUUUUUUUUGUUUUUGAUAUUGAAUAUGCUAAAGCUAAAUCUGAUUGCUAUGAAAGCGAAUUACUUACAAUAAGCAUAAGAAAUUUUUUAAAAUGAAUUUGUUUAUUAACUUAAUCUAUUCUAUAGAGCAUUUUAUCUUGCAAUGAUUUUUCCUUUCUUUCUUUCUUUCUUUCUUUCUUUUGAUCAUUGUAUGAAUUAUUACAAUAAUAAUAGUAAUAAAUAACAAGUAAUAGUUUUUAUAAUAUAAAGUUUUAUGUGAAAAGAAAUGCUUAAGAAAUUAAGUUUUUUUUAAGAAACAAAUGAAAAAAGGACUGAAACAGAAAAUACUUUUUUUUCUUCUUGCAUUCACAUUAUUGAAGUAUCUUAGAAUGAUAAUUAAGUAUAUAGAACAUCUUCUUGAGUCAAUUUUGGUCUUCAAAUAUUGAACUUGUGAAUGUACUUGCUGGCUUUGUAUUUAAACUGCCCUGAACUUAAUGAUUUGAAUAUGAAAUCCUAUACAAAUUUCUAUGCAGGUAUUAGUCCGAUGCCUUUCUUUGAGGUUAUGAUCUUUCCAAAAUCCCCCCUGGUUAGAUCAUAAGUAGAAUGAAAAUUUUAGAGUCCUAAGUAUGGCCUUUCU